This 446-nucleotide ribosomal RNA is filed under the name uncultured bacterium. RNAcentral's name for it is "bacterial SSU rRNA". It matches the Rfam family "Bacterial small subunit ribosomal RNA", at positions 330 to 792 of the family's 1533-position model. The record is from RNAcentral.
CCCAGACUCCUACGGGAGGCAGCAGUGGGGAAUAUUGCACAAUGGGGGGAACCCUGAUGCAGCGACGCCGCGUGGGUGAAGGAGUAUUUCGGUAUGUAAAGCCCUAUCAGCAGGGAAGAACAAUGACGGUACCUGACUAAGAAGCACCGGCUAAAUACGUGCCAGCAGCCGCGGUAAUACGUAUGGUGCAAGCGUUAUCCGGAUUUACUGGGUGUAAAGGGAGCGCAGGCGGCGCGUUAAGCCUGGUGUGAAAGCCCGCGGCCCAACCGCGGGACUGCAUUGGGAACUGGCGCGCUGGAGUGCCGGAGGGGUAGGCGGAAUUCCUAGUGUAGCGGUGAAAUGCGUAGAUAUCACGCAGAACUCCGAUUGCGAAGGCAGCAUACCGGCGCCCAACUGACGCUGAAGCACGAAAGCGUGGGUAUCGAACAGGAUUAGAUACCCUAGUA